Panicum virgatum (switchgrass) is the source of this 1867-nucleotide long non-coding RNA. RefSeq lists it as uncharacterized. The record is from RefSeq and is a predicted model, not a curated record. NCBI's taxonomy places the organism in Eukaryota, Viridiplantae, Streptophyta, Magnoliopsida, Poales, Poaceae. The transcript has 2 exons.
CCUGGACCGCCCACCGCGGGUUCGUCGCCGUACCCGUGGUGGCCGGUGUGCGCGCUUCCGGCGCGGGUGCCGAAGCCGCCGCUGCUCAAGUGGCUCAGAACUACGCGGCGUGCCGACGGCGUCGUGCGUGAGGGAAAGGCCGGCGGCAGCGGUAGGUCCCCCGUCCCACGCCGGAAGACCUCUCUGUCUCUAGCUUUCGACCGCUAGCAUCCCGCCCCUCUCCUCCUCUGCGGCUUCUCGCCACCCUCUGCUUUCCCCCUCGCCCUUUCUCCAACCUCCCCUCCCCGUUCUGCUCCCCAUCCAUGGCCUCGGCUGGCGGACGAGCGAUGCCCGCGCCCGUCCCUCACCGACGCCAUCAAGUCCCUCGUCGCCCAGAUCCUCGGUUGCGUUCCCCUAUCAUCCCGUCCCUUACUCGCCGCGCUCCCUCCCGCUCCCCUGCAUAGCUCAUCCCGUGGCGCCACCAAUUCGCCCCUCUCCACGAGCAACUCUGAAUUCUUUGCCUCCAAUUCGGCAACCAUGACCUUCAAUUCGGCGGUGUCGGCAUCCUAAUCUCCUCCUUAUCCUCCAGGAUUUCCUUCCAUAGCACAAUCCCUCCAAUCCGCGAGCAUCUCAUCCUUGUUUGCUCCGGCAGGGUGGCCCUCUGUCCACUGCAGUCCCAACCGUCCUGCACCAGAGGUAUUGUCUCCUAUCGUCCACUUUUGCAUACUGCUGCGUUUUUUUCAUUCUGAAUGUUUAAUCGUGCUGUUCAAAAUUGAUGCAUUGUUACAGUAAGACAACAAAGAACCUUGGUUAAAUGAAAGUAAGGUAAAUUAUUGUAUGAUAAUAAAAUUCAUAGUUCCUUUCUAUUCCAGUCAAUCAUAUUUAAGGGAUCAGUAUCUGCAAUGUUCAAUGUACCAGAUCCAAAAUUCAGAUUAUGGAUAUCUAGAAGUUAUCAUUGUUAUGUUUUUUCAGAAUUUGUUUAGAAGCUAUGCAUUUGUAUCAAAUAAGCUAUAUGAUUUAUUUUACCAGUGAAAGUUUCUGAGAUAUUUUUGAAGCUAUACGUUCAGAUCUCAUUAUUUUAUUGGAGUUAAUCCCAUCCUGAGUUCAACUAAACCAUGUUAAAUAGUUCAUUUUUUGGAAGAAACCUAAUGGAUGUCUGAAGUAUCAGCAAUUUUUAGUACUCCUAAUCAUCUAAAGAUGAGCACAUCAUCAGGUUAGGUGGUGCGGUAACUUCUCAGGUACGGUGCGUCUGUGGCCACCUUGAACUGUCAAUGAAAGUGUACUUGUAUUGUUAGAUCAGUCCAUUUUUUUACUCAUUUGAUGUUUCAGAUGCUUUAAAAAACACAAAGUUUCUUUUUCGUACAGAAGUUUGUCUACACAAUGUACUCUUGAAUUUUCUUUUGGCUGUUGCAGUUAAUAGGUUUCGGCUCCUAUUUUAGUUUCCAAUGUUCUCAGAGAUUACCUUCAGAAUUCGAGUAGUAUGAAAAUGUGAGGCACCCUAUGGUGUUCAGUUUCAAGGAUUAAGAAACUUGGCUUUUUCGCAGUACCCAAUUAUCUACCUUUUCUGACCUUCCAUGCUUAUGGUAACAUAUUUUUCUCCAUGAUAGAUAUGGAUGGCUUAGUCAUGCUAUUAUUUGAUUGUUUACUGGUGAAUUCUGUCCAUUAGGUUCUUCAUUAAAAGUGCAGCAGGAUAAUCUAUUUCUUCGGGGCCAGUGGCAGCUAUGGCUUGAUUAAAAACAUAGGUACUUAAUGUUGCCUAAGUUUACAAUUUUGUAUUUGUAACCAAAUAUUAUCAGGCUUCAUCGAAAGUUCUGUAAAAAGUAAAGGAAUUGUGGAGCUCGAUUGCUUGGGACACAAUUCUAAAUUAAACCAAUCAGAUCCUGCACAA